This 286-nucleotide unclassified non-coding RNA is filed under the name Hevea brasiliensis (rubber tree). Lineage: Eukaryota; Viridiplantae; Streptophyta; Magnoliopsida; Malpighiales; Euphorbiaceae. The record is from RNAcentral.
GUGAGCUUCAAGGUGAAUUUGUUUGAACUAUUUUACUUCUUCUAUAUGCGGUUUACUUAUUGCACCAAUCAAUGUAAAAGAAAUUAUGGUAACAACUGGUUUUUGUUGAGCUCAGGCCUUUCUUGUGGGAUUUUAAAUUUUGAUUCUAAAAUUACCUAAUAAAAUAACUGACUCUAUUGAAUCACGAAUCGUUCCCUCUAUCUUUACUUCAUAUUUGGAUUUUCCCUCUUUCUUUACAUAUAUAUAUUUUUUUCCGCUUAUAUAGAUUAGACAUGGUGAAGCAGUU